Molecule: ribosomal RNA, 262 nt
Filed under: uncultured bacterium
Lineage: Bacteria
Description: partial 16S ribosomal RNA
Rfam family: Bacterial small subunit ribosomal RNA
Source: RNAcentral
GUCCACGCCCUAAACGAUGGGUACUAAGUGUCGGCGGGUUACCGCCGGUGCCGCACCUAACGGAGUAAGUACCCCGCCUGGGGAGUACGGCCGCAAGGUUGAAACUCAAAGGAAUUGACGGGGGCCCGCACAAGCGGUGGUGCAUGUGGUUCAAUUCGACGCAACGCGAAAACCUUACCCAGGCUUGACAUGCUCGUGGUAAGAACCGGAAACGGGGAUGACCCUGAAAGGGGAGCGAGCACAGGUGCUGCAUGGCUGUCGU